Non-coding RNA from Xyrichtys novacula (pearly razorfish), 194 nucleotides. NCBI's taxonomy places the organism in Eukaryota, Metazoa, Chordata, Actinopteri, Labriformes, Labridae. The record is from the annotation of a GenBank genome assembly.
ACAAAGAAGUACGUGGAAAAGUUAUUGUUUAAUUUUGCUUCGUGUGCUUUUCAAUGUGUCAUUUGGUUUGGCCAUGUAGCACCUGAGUCAAUGUGAAGUUAAAUUGAAGCUAACACUACACCGGCAUUAUCCAGUUCAAAUGACAAAUAACACGUAGCGAAAUUAAAAAAUAACCUUUCCACUCACUUCUUUAC